CACCUCGUCCGCGAGCUUCGCCGACGUCCACUCCUUCGACUACGUCCACCAGUUGGAGCCGGGAGCCCCUGGAUCGCAGGGAUCGACGUCGUCUUCAACCUCCAACCACCGCGACGCCAUCGACGAAUUCGUCGCCGUCGCUCCACCCCCGGCCUUCUCGAUCUCGCCUACGACACCGCGGUGAGGUACUCACUCGAUUCCCGCUCUUCCCUGCUCGACCCAUGCCUAUAGCCGUCGUUCCCCACAGAACUUUGGCCGCCGUUAGUCCUCAUGGCCUCUUGCUUCGACCACCUCCACUGCUGCGCUACUGCUGCUACUGUCGCGCAGGCUCAUUCGCUACUACAGCCUGCGCUCCCGCGCGUGCCCACCCAUGGCCUCGCCUCCGCCUACCGCCGCUCACCCGCUGCCGUGCGUCCGCCUCGCCUGACCGCGUCGGCCGUGGCCGCCAUCGCCGUCCACGCGCGCGACACCGCGCCUGGCGCUGUUCGUUCGCACCGGCCACGCCCCCAGGCUCCCCUGCCCGCGCUGCCCUGUCACCCGCACCUGCCAGCCUCUCCCAUCCGCCUGGCCAUGCUCGCCCGCGCCGCUCGAGCUUGCUGCACGCGCGCUCGCCGACGCUGCCGCCGCCCCUGCUAGUCCUGCGCGCGCCCGCUGGAACCCUUGCCGCCGCCUCCGCCUGCAGCUAGCUCCGGCAACGCGGCCCGGGCCGCAUCCGGCCGUGCGCGGCGUUGACUGGCCGUCUCCGCUCCAUGUCGAUAACUGCUGCUGCUCUGAACGUACUGCUGCUGCUGAAUGCUACUGUAACUAUGGCUAGCUUUGCGAAUAUUAGGCUGACUAACCCCCUUGACAGCCUCUAAUCAGCGGGUAAACAAUUACUAAUAGGCCAAGAAAAAUUAUGAGUAGAAAGUAUACUUGACAAACUUCAUUUUAUUCCAUUGGACCAAAUCCUUUCGAUGAACGGAUUAAAUCGUACGAAAAUCACAAAAGGCUAUCUUCUAUUAACAAAGAACAUAAUUAACCCCUAGUUGUGUGUGCGCGUGUGUGUUCUGUGUUUGUGAGGCCGGCCCCAUGUUCAAUUAGUUUAGGGUUAAUUAGUAUGUAGGUUAGCUACUAGCAGAUGACAUGUGGACCCCAUUAAUUAGGUUAGUAUUUAUUUAUUUGUUUAGGUAUAGCCUAUGACAUGUGGGAUCCACUUUUACUAUUCAUGUGUUGACCAGUCAAAUGUUGACUGGUUCAACCCAGCCCCACUGGCCCCACUUGCCACACAAUAGACUAGGAAACUCAUGGGUACACUUAGUAUAUUCUGUUUUAAUUUCGAAAUAUAAUUAAAUCCAAAAAAUUUAGAAAAUCAUUUAAACUUCGGAAAAUCAUAUAAAAUAAUCCGUAAUUCGGAUGAAAAUACUUUAUACAUGAAAGUUGCUCAGAACGAUGAGACGGAUCCGAAUACACGGUCCGUUGAUCAGCCACACGUCCCUAGCAUAGCGAACAUGCAACUUUCACUGUCCAGUCCUACUAUCCGAAAACGUGAAACAUCGGUAAUACUUUCCCGGAUGUUUCCCCCCUUCGCCGGUAUCACCUAUUCCUGCGUUAGGUCACCCCUAGCACAACGUAUUGCUGCGUCUUGCUUUGUGUUACAUUUGAUUGCUCUGUUAUUUAUAGUGUUCCCCCUCCGUUACUUCUUUUCGGUUGGCUCCGAGACCGUUGCCGAUACCCCUGUGAUCGACUACAUCGACGACGACCCCUUCUUCUUGCUAGAGCAACCAGGCAAGCCCCCCCCCCUUGAUCACCAGAUAUCGCAUAUUCUCUUCUACACUGCUUGAAUUAGAGUAGUAUAGCAUGUUACUGCUUUCUGUUUAUCCUAUCCUGAUGCAUAGCCUGCCCUUGUUACUACUGUUGUUACCUUUACCUGCUAUCCUACAUGCUUAGUUUAUGAUGCUAGUAUUCCAUCUAUGGCCCUACAUUCUUGUCCGUCUGCUGUGCUAUACUAUCGGGCCGUGAUCACUCGGGUGGUGAUCACGGGUAUAUACUAUAUACUUAUACAUGACACAUGUGGUGACUAAAGUCGGGUCCGCUCGUUGAGUACCCGCAAGUGAUUCUGAUGAGGGGGCUGAAAGGACAGGUGGCUCCAUCCCGGUAGAGGUGGGCCUGGGUUCCCGACGGCCCUCGACGGUUACUUUGAGGCGGAGCGACAGGGCAGGUUGAGACCACCUAGGAGAGAGGUGGGCCUGGCCCUGGUCGGCAUUCGCAAAUACUUAACACGUUUAAUGAGAUCUUGAUAUUUGACCUGAGUCUGGCUACUGGCCUAUACGCACUAACCAUCUACGCGGGGACAGUUAUGGGCACUCGACGUCGUGGUAUCAGCCGAAGCCUUCGUGGCGUCAGCGACUGAGCGGCGCGAGCCGGGUUGGACCGCGUAACGUGACUUCCUUUGUAAUGGAGGUUGCUAGGUCUGCUCUCCGGCCGCGUACGCAAUGUGCAGGUGUGCUAUGGGCAAUGGGCCCAGAUCCCUGUGCGCUUAGGUUUAGACCGGCGUGCUGGCCUCUCUGUUGUGCCUAGGUGGGGCUGCGACGUGUUGAUCUUCCGAGGCCGGGCAUGACCCAGGAAAGUGUGUCCGGCCAAAUGGGAUCGAGCGUGUUGGGUUAUGUGGUGCACCCCUGCAGGGAAGUUAAUCUAUUCGAAUAGCCGUGAUCUUCGGUAACAUGACGACUUGGAGUUGUACCUUGACCUUAUGACAACUAGAACUGGAUACUUAAUAAAACACACCCUUCCAAGUGCCAGAUACAACCGAUGAUCGCUCUCUCACAGGGCGACGAGGGGAGGAUCAUCGGUUAGGAUUAUGCUAUACGAUGCUACUUGGAGGUCUUUAGUCUACUCUCUUCUACAUGCUGCAAGACGAGGCUGCCAGAAGCGUAGUCUUCGAAAGGACUAGCUAUCCCCCUUAUCCCGGCUUUCUGCAGUUCAGUCCACAUAUAAUAGCCUUAUUCCAGUUGAUACCUGAUAUGACCAACACCAAAUUUAUUUGUAUCAACGACCACCACGAUGUAGAAGACGUUGGUCUAUGUCAAGUUAUGGCAGCUUCACUUGAUAACAGGAUGCAUCCUAAUCAGGAGAAUAUUAAGGUUCAACCAGAGUCAACGGUUGGUGUUGUGCCAAAAUAUGGGAUGCACGCUAUGGAAGGGAAGAACUCCUUCACAUGCACGUUUGAAGGUUUGCAACAACUUGAUUGUUUGUUUAUGUUGUCACGUGCAGAGCAAGACCCAGCUGUAUGUGUACGAGAGAUAUAUUUUAUUGAGACUAAGCAAAGAAUCCUAAUCAGCUACUACUUCUCCCGAUCAAGACCGCCAGAGCAAGCGUACGCCAGCAUGUUUGAUCGGUGGAAAUUGCUUUCCUUGAGAGACAUUGGAUGGGGGCCACCCAAUAAUUUGUAUUUAAUAAUUUUAGUAUUUAAUGUGUAAUGAAUACCUGCUAAAAUAAAGCACGUAAUCAGAUUUGGUUUUAGUUGUUGGGUCGAUAGUUAGAGACAGGGAGAAUAUUUUGUACGGUCAACUUAUUAGGCAAGUUAGAGCUGGAUAGCUAUUCUACUAUAUAUAGUCUUGAUACGGUCAUUGUAAGAGGAGGUUAUAUUUUUAUGAAAUAGACACGAUGUGUUUUUCAGGGUAGACACCCGUAUCAAGUUUUGGAGGGACCUUUAGAAAACCUCUGUGUUGCGAUUUCUCUUCGUGGAAAUUGUUUUGCGCGUGAGUACCUUCGUCAAGAUUGGUUUUCUCGUGCUGGGCCGCAAGGUUCAAACCCUCUACUUCGUGUACAUCGCGUGCGCGGGCAAGAGGUUGCUACUGCUGGUGGUGGAGUGUCGUGAAAGGUCGGGCCGCAACAACGGAUCGGAUCUCGCCAAUGAGGUUCGGUCUUAUAUCAGGUGGUAUUCAGAGCAUCAGGUUGUUCACGGCACUAUGGAGAAGAUGGCGAGCGCGUCGUUAUUCAGUAAGUUAAGCUAUGAAUUUCAGUUGGAGGAGGAAGGCCGUUGGACUGGUCUUUUUCACACCCGUGUGGUGGUGAGAGAGAGAUCAUGUGCCAUGACCAUUGAUCACAAGAAUUUGAUCAACGCCGCAAGCAUCGAGAUGGUGGAGAAGUUGGAUCUACCGAUUGCACCAAGAGCACAACCGUACUUGUUUCGUUGGGGUCAUGAAGAGCUCACUGUGACGCACCAAACCAAGGUGCCGUUUUUGUUGGGAAAUUAUUUUUGCGAGGUUUUAUGCGACGUGAUUCCGACAACUAUGAUUUCAUGUCACUUGUUAUUGGGCGAGCCAUGGUAUAAAGAGCAUGAUGUUACGUAUGAUUGCAAAACACAUAGAUAUACUAUCAAGAAGGGUAAGAAGUGUAGCCUCGUGCCAAUGGGUGAGAAGCGUUUUAUUUCUUGGAGGAAAGAACAUCUUGAGAAGAUAAAAGAGCAGGAAGAAGAAGAGAAGAAGGUCGAAGUUGCUGAAAUUUUUGCGGUUGUUAUUCAAUCAAGUGAGGAAGAGGUCAACUCAAAACCGAAGACGGUUUCGAUGCAAGGAGGAGAGGAUGAUAUGACCAACACCAAAUUUAUUUGUAUCAACGACCACCACGAUGUAGAAGACGUUGGUCUAUGUCAAGUUAUGGCAGCUUCACUUGAUAACAGGAUGCAUCCUAAUCAGGAGAAUAUUAAGGUUCAACCAGAGUCAACGGUUGGUGUUGUGCCAAAAUAUGGGAUGCACGCUAUGGAAGGGAAGAACUCCUUCACAUGCACGUUUGAAGGUUUGCAACAACUUGAUUGUUUGUUUAUGUUGUCACGUGCAGAGCAAGACCCAGCUGUAUGUGUACGAGAGAUAUAUUUUAUUGAGACUAAGCAAAGAAUCCUAAUCAGCUACUACUUCUCCCGAUCAAGACCGCCAGAGCAAGCGUACGCCAGCAUGUUUGAUCGGUGGAAAUUGCUUUCCUUGAGAGACAUUGGAUGGGGGCCACCCAAUAAUUUGUAUUUAAUAAUUUUAGUAUUUAAUGUGUAAUGAAUACCUGCUAAAAUAAAGCACGUAAUCAGAUUUGGUUUUAGUUGUUGGGUCGAUAGUUAGAGACAGGGAGAAUAUUUUGUACGGUCAACUUAUUAGGCAAGUUAGAGCUGGAUAGCUAUUCUACUAUAUAUAGUCUUGAUACGGUCAUUGUAAGAGGAGGUUAUAUUUUUAUGAAAUAGACACGAUGUGUUUUUCAGGGUAGACACCCGUAUCAAGUUUUGGAGGGACCUUUAGAAAACCUCUGUGUUGCGAUUUCUCUUCGUGGAAAUUGUUUUGCGCGUGAGUACCUUCGUCAAGAUUGGUUUUCUCGUG
Molecule: long non-coding RNA, 5336 nt
Filed under: Triticum aestivum (bread wheat)
Lineage: Eukaryota; Viridiplantae; Streptophyta; Magnoliopsida; Poales; Poaceae
Description: long non-coding RNA (TAES_LNC022381)
Source: RNAcentral